CAGGAGAAUACUGACAUCCAACUGUCUAAGUUCUGCUUCUGAAAGAGCCUGAAGACAAAGGGUAGAGCACUCUCUUCCCAGCAUUCUAUUCCUUUUCUUCAUUUUUAAGCCAAGACAGCCAGCUACUGGGUGCUGUGGAUCUAACCCAGUACCAACUAUCUAUUGAUCCCUCCUGAGGUUCUUCAACCUUCCUCCCUCUUCUCCCAGUGGGACAGAUGAAAGGACAAUGCACGUGGACUCAAAGCCUUUCUUUGUCAACUUGCAGUCUUGUCUACCUUUAGUGGGGAUCCAGACACUUACUACUUUGAAUUUGUCUUCGACCUGGUGUCCUUGGGUCAGCAGAUGUCAACUCCCUUUGGAAAAGUGAGCCAGCAGCUAUGCAAAACACAGAAGCCUGGCAGAAGGAUCCAAUCAUUUCCUCAGGAUGAAAGGUAAGACUAAUAUAAACUACAUCUAAAGGACCAGACUUUUACCAGCUGCAAAAUACAAUGGAGCUGUAUGAUGAUGAGAACCACUAACACCUCAAGAUCACAUCCUCAACUCUGAACAAACUG
This 554-nucleotide long non-coding RNA is filed under the name Heterocephalus glaber (naked mole-rat). Its description in RNAcentral is "lncRNA (ENSHGLG00000029498.2)". The record is from RNAcentral. Lineage: Eukaryota; Metazoa; Chordata; Mammalia; Rodentia; Bathyergidae.